RNAcentral lists this ribosomal RNA (260 nucleotides) under Pseudopedinella elastica. RNAcentral describes it as "partial Bacterial large subunit ribosomal RNA". It matches the Rfam family "Bacterial large subunit ribosomal RNA", at positions 1646 to 1892 of the family's 2925-position model. The record is from RNAcentral. Lineage: Eukaryota; Dictyochophyceae; Pedinellales.
ACCCCAAACCGACUCAGGUUGUCAGGUAGAGAAUACUAAGGUGAUCGAGAGAAUCGUGGUUAAGGAACUCGGCAAAAUGCCCCCGUAACUUCGGGAGAAGGGGGGCCGGAUUGGUGAAGGGAUUUACUCCUGGAGCUAUGAAGGCCGCAGAGACCAGUGGGAAGCGACUGUUUACUAAAAACACAGGUCCGUGCUAAGUCGCAAGACGAUGUAUACGGACUGACGCCUGCCCGGUGCUGGAAGGUUAAGAGGAGAAGUGC